Pelodiscus sinensis (Chinese soft-shelled turtle) is the source of this 960-nucleotide non-coding RNA. Lineage: Eukaryota; Metazoa; Chordata; Testudines; Trionychidae. The record is from RefSeq and is a predicted model, not a curated record.
AAAUGUAAGCUGCUAACUGAAAAAAGGAAGCUUUUGUUAUUUUAGGUGAUUUUACACUAUCAAACUGUAAGUGAGCCUGCCACUAUUAGACGAUUGCUGAGUAUCCUUCACAAGAGUACUGGUGAAGUCACAAAGAAGAAACCUAAGGUCCUGACUAAAGGACAGAAUGCUUUAAUAGAACUACAGACACACAGGCCUGUUGCCCUUGAAUUGUACAAAGAUUUUAAAGAACUUGGAAGGUUUAUGUUACGCUACAGCGGAUCCACUAUAGCUGCAGGUGUUGUCACAGAGAUUAAAGAAUGACAGUGGUGCUAAGACUUCAGUGACCCAACCAAAAUGCAAUCAGCCAUUCACACCUCUUUCAGAAUCCAGUUACUUCAGCUGAAGGAACUAAGUGCAAUUAAAUGAAAAAAAAAGGAAAAAAAGAAAAUUUAAAUUCAUAUUGGACAUUUAGUGAACUUUUUAUCUGUCUCUGCCUAAUGCAAAACAAAAUGCCAACUGACAUGGAAAUGCUAAUGUUGCACAUUCUCAUUUCAAAAGCUCCCAUAUUUCUCUGUGUGAAAUUUACCCCACACCUGCAGCUCACAGAGCUUUAUGGAAACUUGAUUGGAAAGAUGCAUUAGAAGAUAAGAUGGCGAAUCAUCAAGAAACAAUCUUGCUACUUCCAACCAUUGACUGUUUACAUUUUUUCUUUGAUUUGCUCAUUGCUGCACAUUAAUCCAAUAAAGUAACUUAAUUGGUCUAAUAUAUUUUAAGGUUUGAGAUGAAUGCAUUUUCAGGGGAAAAAUGUUUACUUCCGUUUCAGAGAAAGGUAUGUUGUGUCAUCUACAAGAUUUUUUCCCCCAUCCUAAAAUUUAUUUAAAAAAAGAAAAUUUAACCGCAUGUGUAGUGGAAGCUGUGCCAACAAUGGCUAAUUUUAUUUUUGAAGUGUAAAAAUAUAAUAAAGUAGCCUGGUCUGAG